CCUACGGGAGGCAGCAGUGAGGAAUAUUGCGCAAUGGGCGAAAGCCUGACGCAGCGACGCCGCGUGAGGGAUGAAGGUCUUCGGAUCGUAAACCUCUGUCAGCAGGGAAGAACGGUCACUGUGCUAAUCAGCAGUGAAUUGACGGUACCUGCAAAGGAAGCACCGGCUAACUCCGUGCCAGCAGCCGCGGUAAUACGGAGGGUGCGAGCGUUAAUCGGAAUUACUGGGCGUAAAGCGCUCGUAGGCGGUAUGUCAAGUCAAGUGUGAAAUCCCCGCGCUCAACGUGGGAACGGCCUUUGAAACUGGCAAACUGGAGUGUGUGAGAGGAUAGUGGAAUUCCAGGUGUAGGAGUGAAAUGCGUAGAUAUGUGGAGGAACAUCAGUGGCGAAGGCGACUAUCUGGCACAUAACUGACGCUGAGGAGCGAAAGCGUGGGUAGCAAACAGGAUUAGAUACCCGAGUAGUC
RNAcentral lists this ribosomal RNA (465 nucleotides) under uncultured bacterium. Its description in RNAcentral is "partial 16S ribosomal RNA". It matches the Rfam family "Bacterial small subunit ribosomal RNA", at positions 338 to 795 of the family's 1533-position model. The record is from RNAcentral.